GGGUUGUGAGGUUAAGCGACUAAGCGUACACGGUGGAUGCCCUGGCAGUCAGAGGCGAUGAAGGACGUGCUAAUCUGCGAUAAGCGUCGGUAAGGUGAUAUGAACCGUUAUAACCGGCGAUUUCCGAAUGGGGAAACCCAGUGUGUUUCGACACACUAUCAUUAACUGAAUCCAUAGGUUAAUGAGGCGAACCGGGGGAACUGAAACAUCUAAGUACCCCGAGGAAAAGAAAUCAACCGAGAUUCCCCCAGUAGCGGCGAGCGAACGGGGAGCAGCCCAGAGCCUGAAUCAGUGUGUGUGUUAGUGGAAGCGUCUGGAAAGGCGCGCGAUACAGGGUGACAGCCCCGUACACAAAAAUGCACAUGCUGUGAGCUCGAUGAGUAGGGCGGGACACGUGGUAUCCUGUCUGAAUAUGGGGGGACCAUCCUCCAAGGCUAAAUACUCCUGACUGACCGAUAGUGAACCAGUACCGUGAGGGAAAGGCGAAAAGAACCCCGGCGAGGGGAGUGAAAAAGAACCUGAAACCGUGUACGUACAAGCAGUGGGAGCACGCUUAGGCGUGUGACUGCGUACCUUUUGUAUAAUGGGUCAGCGACUUAUAUUCUGUAGCAAGGUUAACCGAAUAGGGGAGCCGAAGGGAAACCGAGUCUUAACUGGGCGUUAAGUUGCAGGGUAUAGACCCGAAACCCGGUGAUCUAGCCAUGGGCAGGUUGAAGGUUGGGUAACACUAACUGGAGGACCGAACCGACUAAUGUUGAAAAAUUAGCGGAUGACUUGUGGCUGGGGGUGAAAGGCCAAUCAAACCGGGAGAUAGCUGGUUCUCCCCGAAAGCUAUUUAGGUAGCGCCUCGUGAAUUCAUCUCCGGGGGUAGAGCACUGUUUCGGCAAGGGGGUCAUCCCGACUUACCAACCCGAUGCAAACUGCGAAUACCGGAGAAUGUUAUCACGGGAGACACACGGCGGGUGCUAACGUCCGUCGUGAAGAGGGAAACAACCCAGACCGCCAGCUAAGGUCCCAAAGUCAUGGUUAAGUGGGAAACGAUGUGGGAAGGCCCAGACAGCCAGGAUGUUGGCUUAGAAGCAGCCAUCAUUUAAAGAAAGCGUAAUAGCUCACUGGUCGAGUCGGCCUGCGCGGAAGAUGUAACGGGGCUAAACCAUGCACCGAAGCUGCGGCAGCGACGCUUAUGCGUUGUUGGGUAGGGGAGCGUUCUGUAAGCCUGCGAAGGUGUGCUGUGAGGCAUGCUGGAGGUAUCAGAAGUGCGAAUGCUGACAUAAGUAACGAUAAAGCGGGUGAAAAGCCCGCUCGCCGGAAGACCAAGGGUUCCUGUCCAACGUUAAUCGGGGCAGGGUGAGUCGACCCCUAAGGCGAGGCCGAAAGGCGUAGUCGAUGGGAAACAGGUUAAUAUUCCUGUACUUGGUGUUACUGCGAAGGGGGGACGGAGAAGGCUAUGUUGGCCGGGCGACGGUUGUCCCGGUUUAAGCGUGUAGGCUGGUUUUCCAGGCAAAUCCGGAAAAUCAAGGCUGAGGCGUGAUGACGAGGCACUACGGUGCUGAAGCAACAAAUGCCCUGCUUCCAGGAAAAGCCUCUAAGCAUCAGGUAACAUCAAAUCGUACCCCAAACCGACACAGGUGGUCAGGUAGAGAAUACCAAGGCGCUUGAGAGAACUCGGGUGAAGGAACUAGGCAAAAUGGUGCCGUAACUUCGGGAGAAGGCACGCUGAUAUGUAGGUGAAGUCCCUUGCGGAUGGAGCUGAAAUCAGUCGAAGAUACCAGCUGGCUGCAACUGUUUAUUAAAAACACAGCACUGUGCAAACACGAAAGUGGACGUAUACGGUGUGACGCCUGCCCGGUGCCGGAAGGUUAAUUGAUGGGGUUAGCGGUAACGCGAAGCUCUUGAUCGAAGCCCCGGUAAACGGCGGCCGUAACUAUAACGGUCCUAAGGUAGCGAAAUUCCUUGUCGGGUAAGUUCCGACCUGCACGAAUGGCGUAAUGAUGGCCAGGCUGUCUCCACCCGAGACUCAGUGAAAUUGAACUCGCUGUGAAGAUGCAGUGUACCCGCGGCAAGACGGAAAGACCCCGUGAACCUUUACUAUAGCUUGACACUGAACAUUGAGCCUUGAUGUGUAGGAUAGGUGGGAGGCUUUGAAGUGUGGACGCCAGUCUGCAUGGAGCCGACCUUGAAAUACCACCCUUUAAUGUUUGAUGUUCUAACGUUGACCCGUAAUCCGGGUUGCGGACAGUGUCUGGUGGGUAGUUUGACUGGGGCGGUCUCCUCCUAAAGAGUAACGGAGGAGCACGAAGGUUGGCUAAUCCUGGUCGGACAUCAGGAGGUUAGUGCAAUGGCAUAAGCCAGCUUGACUGCGAGCGUGACGGCGCGAGCAGGUGCGAAAGCAGGUCAUAGUGAUCCGGUGGUUCUGAAUGGAAGGGCCAUCGCUCAACGGAUAAAAGGUACUCCGGGGAUAACAGGCUGAUACCGCCCAAGAGUUCAUAUCGACGGCGGUGUUUGGCACCUCGAUGUCGGCUCAUCACAUCCUGGGGCUGAAGUAGGUCCCAAGGGUAUGGCUGUUCGCCAUUUAAAGUGGUACGCGAGCUGGGUUUAGAACGUCGUGAGACAGUUCGGUCCCUAUCUGCCGUGGGCGCUGGAGAAUUGAGGGGGGCUGCUCCUAGUACGAGAGGACCGGAGUGGACGCAUCACUGGUGUUCGGGUUGUCAUGCCAAUGGCACUGCCCGGUAGCUAAAUGCGGAAGAGAUAAGUGCUGAAAGCAUCUAAGCACGAAACUUGCCCCGAGAUGAGUUCUCCCUGACUCCUUGAGAGUCCUGAAGGAACGUUGAAGACGACGACGUUGAUAGGCCGGGUGUGUAAGCGCAGCGAUGCGUUGAGCUAACCGGUACUAAUGAACCGUGAGGCUUAACCUUACAACGCCGAAGCUGUU
RNAcentral lists this ribosomal RNA (2932 nucleotides) under Shigella sonnei. RNAcentral's name for it is "bacterial LSU rRNA". It matches the Rfam family "Bacterial large subunit ribosomal RNA". Lineage: Bacteria; Pseudomonadati; Pseudomonadota; Gammaproteobacteria; Enterobacterales; Enterobacteriaceae. The record is from RNAcentral.